Molecule: long non-coding RNA, 340 nt
Organism: Pan troglodytes (chimpanzee)
Lineage: Eukaryota; Metazoa; Chordata; Mammalia; Primates; Hominidae
Exons: 2
Source: RefSeq, a predicted model, not a curated record
AAAGACAGCUCUUGAUUCCUCUCUUAAUUUCUGUAGUAAGACUUCAUCUUCAGCAGGCAGCUGAAAAUACAAGGUCUUUAGACAAACUCAGCCAAGUGUCAACCAGAAAACAUUUGAAUUUACCUGUAGCCUGGAAGCCCCGCUUCAAAUUGUCCCACCUUUCUGGAUCAAACCAAUGUAUUUCUCAAAUGUAUUUGAUUGAUGUCUCAUGCCUCUCUAAAAUGUAUGAAACCAAGCUGCACCCAAACCACCUUUGGUACAUGUUCUCAGGAUCUCUUGAAGGCUGUGUCACAGGCCAUGGCCACUCAUAUUUGGCUCAGAAUAAAUCUCUUCAAAUAUU